UACGAUUUUAAAACGCUUAUGUUAGGGAGAGGUUUCCACACCCUUAUAAGUAAUGUUUCGUUUCCUUCUCAACGGAGGUCGGAUCUCAUACCCCAUUUGUUGGGAUUUUUCCAUCUAUGAAUUGCCAUUGAAACCAUUACUGUGAUGCAUUUUAGGACUUCUCCUCAUACCGCUCCUUUAAUUUUUCGUAUCUUUCUUUGGAUUCAUAGAGAUUCCGUGUCCUCCCAAAUGCUUUGAAUCUAUAAGACCUCCAACCAUUCACGGUUGGGCCGACAAAACUUGUCCACUUCUUUGAUGGAAUCUUCAUCCAUCCCUUUAAAAGAAGGUGGCUGACAACGACACCCAAUUGAAUCAUUAAACCACUUGCACUGCCCGCUAUAGUUAAAUUCUGUAAUGGAGAUGCGUUGUCUUCCCAUACAAGGCAAAACACUAAGCAAAUUGAUCAUUUUCCCUCCCCUUCCCUAUCUCAGGCUGCUCCACUGUUCUAAUACCCGUGAGAGUCCUACAAGCCUUACAACUUCACUACGACAGAAUGGACAACGAGACAAGAGAAAAGAUCACUGGCUUCACAGCUUUAAGAGAAGCUGCGGCUAGUGCCAGAACAACAAAGUCACAUACCGAUAAGACAAGUCAUCUGGAAGCGACAGCGGCGGUGGAGGCGGCGACGACGGCGGCGAGCAGCCAAAUCGACGUGGGUCUUCCUCAAGAAUGGACGUACUGAAAAAUAGCUUCACCAAUCCACGAGAGGGCAUUUAGAUGAAAUCCUUGGGUAAUAAUUUUCCGUUAGGGGCAAAACCGUAAAUAAUGUUUGGGAAAUUAAUACUGCAAUGUGAAAAAAAAGAAAAAAGGAUUUUUUUAUAUGGAAAUCCUUUGGUAAUAAUUUUCAAAUAAGAUGGUAUUCAAUCCUUUACAAUAAUUGUUUAAAUAAUUUAAUUAUUUUUGUUGUA
Cucurbita pepo subsp. pepo (vegetable marrow) is the source of this 947-nucleotide non-coding RNA. Lineage: Eukaryota; Viridiplantae; Streptophyta; Magnoliopsida; Cucurbitales; Cucurbitaceae. The record is from RefSeq and is a predicted model, not a curated record.